RNAcentral lists this ribosomal RNA (374 nucleotides) under uncultured bacterium. RNAcentral's name for it is "bacterial SSU rRNA". It matches the Rfam family "Bacterial small subunit ribosomal RNA", at positions 524 to 898 of the family's 1533-position model. The record is from RNAcentral.
UACGUAGGUGGCAAGCGUUGUCCGGAAUUACUGGGUGUAAAGGGAGCGUAGGCGGGAAUGCAAGUUGAAUGUUUAAACUAUCGGCUCAACCGGUAGUCGCGUUCAAAACUGUAUUUCUUGAGUGAAGUAGAGGCAAGCGGAAUUCCUAGUGUAGCGGUGAAAUGCGUAGAUAUUAGGAGGAACACCAGUGGCGAAGGCGGCUUGCUGGGCUUUUACUGACGCUGAGGCUCGAAAGCGUGGGUAGCAAACAGGAUUAGAUACCCUGGUAGUCCAUGCUGUAAACGAUGAUUACUAGGUGUGGGGGGACUGACCCCUUCCGUGCCGCAGUUAACACAAUAAGUAAUCCACCUGGGGAGUACGACCGCAAGGUUGAA